This 564-nucleotide ribosomal RNA is filed under the name uncultured Glomeromycotina. Its description in RNAcentral is "SSU rRNA". It matches the Rfam family "Eukaryotic small subunit ribosomal RNA", at positions 548 to 1114 of the family's 1831-position model. Lineage: Eukaryota; Fungi; Glomeromycota. The record is from RNAcentral.
UUGGAGGGCAAGUCUGGUGCCAGCAGCCGCGGUAAUUCCAGCUCCAAUAGCGUAUAUUAAAGUUGUUGCAGUUAAAAAGCUCGUAGUUGAAUUUCGGGAUCAAAUAGUCGGUCGUGCCUCGGUACGCACUGGUAUUAUUGGUUCCUACCUUCUGAAGAACCGCGAUGUCAUUAAUUUGGUGUCGUGGGGAAUCAGGACUGUUACUUUGAAAAAAUUAGAGUGUUUAAAGCAGGCUUACGCUUGAAUACAUUAGCAUGGAAUAAUGAAAUAGGACGUUUGAUUCUAUUUUGUUGGUUUCUAGGAUUCACGUAAUGAUUAAUAGGGAUAGUUGGGGGCAUUAGUAUUCAAUUGUCAGAGGUGAAGUUCUUGGAUUUAUUGAAGACUAACUACUGCGAAAGCAUUUGCCAAGGAUGUUCUCAUUAAUCAAGAACGAAAGUUAGGGGAUCGAAGACGAUCAGAUACCGUCGUAGUCUUAACCAUAAACUAUGCCGACUAGGGAUCGGAUGAUGUUAAUUUUUUAAUGACUCAUUCGGCGCCUUACGGGAAACCAAAGUGUUUGGGUUC